GUCUCCAUGGCUCAGUUGGUUAGAGCGUACGACUGUUACACUUGUGCAUCGUAAGGUCGCAAGUUCGAGCCUUGCUGGGGACG
Molecule: transfer RNA, 83 nt
Rfam family: tRNA
About the family: Transfer RNA (tRNA) molecules are approximately 80 nucleotides in length. Their secondary structure includes four short double-helical elements and three loops (D, anti-codon, and T loops). Further hydrogen bonds mediate the characteristic L-shaped molecular structure. tRNAs have two regions of fundamental functional importance: the anti-codon, which is responsible for specific mRNA codon recognition, and the 3' end, to which the tRNAs corresponding amino acid is attached (by aminoacyl-tRNA synthetases). tRNAs cope with the degeneracy of the genetic code in two manners: having more than one tRNA (with a specific anti-codon) for a particular amino acid; and 'wobble' base-pairing, i.e. permitting non-standard base-pairing at the 3rd anti-codon position.
Source: Rfam